AGUGCACGCAGGCCGGUGAGCUUGUGGGCUGCCGGUGUGCGGGGGUCUCGCGUGAUUGCGGGCCGAGGUUCGGUCCCUCGUUGCAGUG
This 88-nucleotide transfer RNA is filed under the name Rhodococcus erythropolis. RNAcentral's name for it is "tRNA-Gly(gcc)". The record is from RNAcentral. Lineage: Bacteria; Bacillati; Actinomycetota; Actinomycetes; Mycobacteriales; Nocardiaceae.